UCGGGGGGGGGUCCCGGGGGUGACGCCCCCUCCCCAAAUUUCCCAGAGCGCCCCCCGAGACCCCCCCGGACCCUCUGCACAAGACCCCCCCCAAAAAGAAAAGCAUCAAAUCCUCCAUCGGCCGCCUCUUCGGCAAGAAGGAGAAAGGGCGGCUGGGACCCCCCCCAAGGGACCCCGCGCUGGCCGGGACCCCCUCGGACGAGCCGGGCCCCCCCGAGGCGCUCGGCCUGAGCAAACUGCCGGGGGGGGUGGAGAAGGACCGGAGGAGCCGCAAAAAGCACGAGCUGCUGGAGGAGGCGUGCCGCCAGGGACUGCCCUUCGCCGCCUGGGACGGCCCCACCGUGGUGUCCUGGCUCGAGGUGAAUUUGGGGGGAAAACGCCCGAAUUUGGGAAAAAAACAAAAUUUGGGGAAAAAACUCCCAAAAUUUGGGGAAAAAUGCAGAAAUUUAGGAAUAAAACAAAAAAAUUUGGGGAAAAUAUCCCAAAAUUUGGGAAAAAAGAUCUGAAAUUUGAGAAAAAACCCCAAAAUUUAGGGGAAAAAAAAUCUGAAAUUUGGGAAAAGAACCCCCAAAAUUUGGAAAAAUAAACCCCAAAAUUUUGGGGAAAAAACCCCAAAAUUUGGGAAAACAAUGGAGAAAAUAAGGAAAAAACCCCAAAAAUGUGGGAAAAAAACACAGAAAUUUGGGGGAAAAACCCGAAAUUUGGGAAAAUAAUUUGAAAUCUGGGGGAAAAAAAACCCCAAAAAUUGGGAAAAAAACCGCAAAAUUUGGGAAAACAAUGCAGAAAUUUGGGGGGAAAAGAGCGGAAUUUGGGGAAAAAACCCCCAAAAUUUGGGAAAAAAAGUCUAAAAUUUGGGAAGAAAAACCCAAAAUUCGGGGAAAAAAAUCCCAAAAUUUGGGAAAAAAAAUCCGUAAAAUUGGGGGGGGGGAAAAAGAGAAUUUUGGGGCAAUCCGGGAGAUUUUGGGGUUUUUGGGGGGUUUUUCGGCCUCGGGGC
This 994-nucleotide long non-coding RNA is filed under the name Taeniopygia guttata (zebra finch). Its description in RNAcentral is "lncRNA (ENSTGUG00000020084.1)". Lineage: Eukaryota; Metazoa; Chordata; Aves; Passeriformes; Estrildidae. The record is from RNAcentral.